UUUCCGUAGGUGAACCUGCGGAAGGAUCAUCAAAAAUGAAGCCGGGAAACCGGUCCUUCUAACCCUUGAUUAUCUUAAUUUGUUGCUUUGGUGGGCCGCGCAAGCACCGGCUUCGGCUGGAUCGUGCCCGCCAGAGGACACAACUCUGUAUCAAAUGUCGUCUGAGUACUAUAAAAUAGUUAAAACUUUCAACAACGGAUCUCUUGGUUCUG
RNAcentral lists this unclassified non-coding RNA (212 nucleotides) under plant metagenome. RNAcentral's name for it is "partial contains small subunit ribosomal RNA, internal transcribed spacer 1, and 5.8S ribosomal RNA". The record is from RNAcentral.